GGCGGAUUACCCGAGCGGCCAAAGGGGGCUGACUGUAAAUCAGCUGGCACUGCCUACGGGGGUUCGAAUCCCUCAUCCGCCA
RNAcentral lists this transfer RNA (82 nucleotides) under Leucobacter chromiireducens subsp. solipictus. RNAcentral's name for it is "tRNA-Tyr". It matches the Rfam family "tRNA". From Rfam's summary of the family: Transfer RNA (tRNA) molecules are approximately 80 nucleotides in length. The record is from RNAcentral. RNAcentral also lists the same sequence under 3 other names. Lineage: Bacteria; Bacillati; Actinomycetota; Actinomycetes; Micrococcales; Microbacteriaceae.